UUUGCGUCUGGGAGUGAGCCAGGGAGACGAAGCAUUGGCAUCGGAGUGACCUGCCCCCUCCCAAAACAGUUUUAAGGGUAAGUCUUUCCAUUUGUAGUCCAGAAAGUUUGACCAUGUGUGUAUUUCUUUAUUUCUUUGGAGGAUUUCAUGUGGGCAUAGACCCCCCCCUCCCCUUCCAUCUUAUCCGGGUAAUUUCAAGACAAACUUGACGUGGUUGCCGAGUGGAUUUAGGUGAACGUGUCGAUCCGUCUUGGGGGGGGCUGAGGGAUCUUUGUGUGAUUUUCCAGACACUCCACGAGAGAGAGAGAGAAACGAAUGAGAGCGAGCGAGGACGCAUGAGGCUGCAGUGAUGCGUAGGAGUGUUGUUCACAUGCCGGGGGAUCCUCUGCCGCGCCGCUCGGCAACAACAAGCGGGGAACACACAAGGCAGGAGGUGGACACGGACGCAAGUCAGGUGAGGAGGAAGUACAAACCUGAAGACCACGACCAGGAGGCCGAUCUCGUCGUGCACAGAUGACAUACAGACGUCCACCUGACACCCAGAGUAGCCUUUAGGACGAACCACGUGUCAAGGAGGAUACUUAAAAAUAAUGUAAACUAAAUUGUAUUUGUAUUUUUUGUGUGUGUAAGAGUGUGAGUGUGUUAUAUUCUUUCCAUUUUCAUAUGUACUAUACAUUGUGUGUAAAAGUUGCAAUGUUAUAAAGAUGACGUCACGAGUAAUCUACAUUAUAAUGUGGCAUAACUUUAUCCACUGUAUGUGUGUGUGUUGAGCUUUGGUCUCGUGCACGCGCAUCGGCUGGCACUUGUGACGCGUUUUGCGAGCUGACGCGCACGCACGCCGGCCGUGCGAGAACAUUUUUGUAGUCUUGCAUGCUUGCAGACUACGUGGCAGGUUUCACGUGACGUCGUCACAGCUCAUUUCGUUCCCAUUUUACGUUUGGUUUUUGCGCGUGCGUGCUUGUGUGUGCGUGCCAAAAGUAAUGGUAUGGCGACUGCACUUGUGUGUGUCUGCGUGAGUAAUGGGGGAGAAAUUGUGCAGACGAU
Long non-coding RNA from Syngnathus typhle (broad-nosed pipefish), 1044 nucleotides. RefSeq lists it as uncharacterized. The record is from RefSeq and is a predicted model, not a curated record. The transcript is spliced from 5 exons. Lineage: Eukaryota; Metazoa; Chordata; Actinopteri; Syngnathiformes; Syngnathidae.